Molecule: ribosomal RNA, 274 nt
Filed under: uncultured bacterium
Lineage: Bacteria
Description: partial 16S ribosomal RNA
Rfam family: Bacterial small subunit ribosomal RNA
Source: RNAcentral
AUACGGAGGGAGCAAGCGUUAUUCGGAAUCACUGGGCGUAUAGGACGCGUAGGCGGGUUUGUAAGUCAGGUGUGAAAUCCUACAGCUCAACUGUAGAACUGCACUUGAAACUACAGACCUAGAGUAUGGAAGGGGCAGAUGGAAUUAGUGGUGUAGGGAUAAAAUCCGUAGAUAUCACUAGGAAUACCGAAAGCGAAGGCGAUCUGCUGGGACAUUACUGACGCUGAGGCGUGAAAGCGUGGGGAGCAAACAGAAUUAGAAACCCCAGUAGUCC